UACGGAGGGGGCUAGCGUUGUUCGGAAUUACUGGGCGUAAAGCGCACGUAGGUGGCUUUGUAAGUUAGAGGUGAAAGCCCGGAGCUCAACUCCGGAAUUGCCUUUAAGACUGCAUCGCUAGAACGUCGGAGAGGUGAGUGGAAUUCCGAGUGUAGAGGUGAAAUUCGUAGAUAUUCGGAAGAACACCAGUGGCGAAGGCGACUCACUGGACGACUGUUGACACUGAGGUGCGAAAGCGUGGGGAGCAAACAGGAUUAGAAACCCCAGUAGUCC
This 273-nucleotide ribosomal RNA is filed under the name uncultured bacterium. RNAcentral describes it as "partial 16S ribosomal RNA". It matches the Rfam family "Bacterial small subunit ribosomal RNA", at positions 524 to 796 of the family's 1533-position model. The record is from RNAcentral.